AAGGCAACUUUUUGCCGAGUGAAUCGAACAUCGAUCUCUCUCUUUUUCCCAGUUGCCAAAAUCAUGUAAUGGCCGCUUGAGGUAUAACUUGAUCGGUUGUAAAAUUUCCAAUACAACCGAUCGUUUAGCCUUUGCUGCUACAUUA
Eutrema salsugineum is the source of this 145-nucleotide small nucleolar RNA. It matches the Rfam family "Small nucleolar RNA snoR144". The record is from Rfam. Lineage: Eukaryota; Viridiplantae; Streptophyta; Magnoliopsida; Brassicales; Brassicaceae.